Pseudoliparis swirei is the source of this 3050-nucleotide long non-coding RNA. RefSeq lists it as uncharacterized. The record is from RefSeq and is a predicted model, not a curated record. NCBI's taxonomy places the organism in Eukaryota, Metazoa, Chordata, Actinopteri, Perciformes, Liparidae. The transcript has 3 exons.
UGGAGACGAGGGAUAAGACGAGGAGAAAGUGUCAAAUGGAGGAGGAGGGAAGGAGGCCAGGUAGGGAAGGAAGUGAGGCAGCACUUGGAGUCAACUGAGAGUAGGGUGGCCGGGGUUGAAAUAGACAUAAAUAUACAUCACUUUUCUGCCGUAUGCGUGUAUGAGAGGACAGUUUCUGAGGCUGAAGAAGUUGAAACCAGUGAAGGUAAAAUAACUAGACGUGGCUGGAGGUGAGACAGGGAGCAAGACAGCCAGAGAGCAAAAUCAGUUCAGAAAAAGAGACAAGGGGAGUCGUUUGCUUCUCCUGCCCAUGGAUGUAAUGCUAAUUUGGACACAGGCCAGCGUCCAAUCAGACAACGGGACCGAAGGCCUUGUCAUAACGGCAACCAUGACAUCACUGCAAGUGACCUCACAGGACGACACGAUCAAUAAUCCAGGACAAGGCAUGAACCGGAUGGCAAAGGAGAACUGGUGAAACCUGGAGUCAGGAGGAGAACCAGAGAUGGAGCGUGAAGGAGCGCUUGCUGUCGGUGGCGUGAGCCGUUUCCAGGUGAAGCAAACUGAGUUCAAUUGGAUCGAGCUGAACUGGUCUGAACUGGAACGACCCGAACUGAGCUGGAACGAAAGCUUCAUCUGGACAGGAUCCCGACUGGCUGGCUGAGGACUUUGGGAACAAAAUGUCAGGCAGAGAAAAAAACGUUGAAAUAAUAACAGUUGUAACCUUCCAUAAUUUAUGCCAGUCGUUAGGGGUGUUGGUCACAUGACUUUCAUGCGGCUGUCAGAUACAUAUCUCUCUCUUUCCCCCAAAAACCUUCUCAGUGGGCAUUCGUAGAAAUAAUUUGUCAAGUAGUAACACAUGAGAAGCGUGUUACAUUGAAUCUUCUCAAUGCAAUAAAAAAAACUGAAGCGGCUAAAAUGAUCACAAAACAUCUGUAAGUGAUUGUUGAUAAUGUUUCAUUGUAUUGAUCCCUGUGGGGACAUUCUUCUCUGCAUUUUAACGCAAAAGUGAAUUCACACAAAUAUUCCGUCUCCCUCUCUGUGUUAAAUGCCUCAAACGUCUCUUUCUCUGUCACUCUUCACUCCCGUCAACGUGUAUGAAUAAUAAUUUACUAAAAUGAUUCACACCAUCUUUAUUUCAUCUUUGUGGUUACGGUUGCUUCAUUUUGGAUUUAAGUUCUAGAAAUGUGUCUUGAACGGAAAAUACACAUGAGCAAAAUGUGUGUGUUCAAUAAAUGUAUCCAAUAAUGCUAAGUUAUUCAACGUUUUAGGUGUUUGUGGUGAUAAAUUGAGCCUCACGGUUCCACAAUACAAACCAAAGAACUUUAAUUUGGAUCAGGUUGUACCUGCUCUCUCUCAUCUCCAUCACCUUCUCUCUUCCUCGGUCUCUGUCUCCUCAUCUUGUCUCCUCAUCGCACGAAGUCAGACACAAUAGUUUUGUUGUCAUAGGUCUUGAAAAGUUCACAAUUUUAUUUAAAUAUCUUGAAAACAUACUUGGAGUAUAUAUAGUAAAUAUUCAUAAGCAUCAAAACUUCAAAAGCUUCUAAAAUCAAUAUAUUUUAUAAUAAUGAAUAAUACAUAGAAAAGGUAAAGGGGUCGCUUGUAGUCAUUAACCUCCUGAAUAUGAUCACCUGGAUCUGCAGCUCCUUUUAUAUUAAGUUCUAGCUAAUUGUUGUUGUUGUUUUGAAGCUUGUUUCUAAAGCUUUCUGUACUCGUUUGGAGCUGAAUAUGAAUCUACAUCUGUAUCCUUAGCGUUUCAUUUCAUAUACAUUCAAUAAAGAGGAAAUGCCUCUAGCUCUGACACUAUGUGUCUUAUUAUUCUAUAUCUGGAAGAAGGUGACUCUGAAGCAGUGUGCUUCAAUGCACUUGAGCAAGUGUUGUGCAAGGACACACAACAUUUCUACACACACACACACACACAGAACAGAGAACAGUAGCCCCUGGCUAUCUGCAGCACUGAGUGUAAAUGAUCGUAGAGCUGUGGUCAUAACGCACAGCCCUACAGGCUACUGAUGGAAGAUGACACCCAAUGUCUGUGUGUGUGUGUGUGUGUGUGUUGGGGUAUGUGUGUGUGAGAGAGUCAUUUUAGACUCUUCAUGUCGCUUCCCUUCCGUCUCUCCUCCUCCUCCUCCUCCCUGUUGAUGCCUCGGGUGAUGAAACUGACUCUGUUGUAUCAGCCGUCCUCUUCCCUCCUCCCUUCUACACAUUCAUUUGUUUGCCCACCCUCUAGAGCCACAUUAGUGUGUGUUUAACCGUAUUGAUUAGGUCUUGUCUAUUGAUACAGAUCAGAGUGAUCCAUCACUGAUAUCUAUGCUUGCGGGGCGGAGAUGAGUUGAUAUUGAUGGAUGAACUGAUUAAUCAGUAAGCGUGGCGGAGUGAAGCGCUUGGACAAACAAACACAGAGGGACAAUGGCCCGGUUUUACCUGUGGGAUUAAAACUCAUUUACAAGGAAGACAUCUAUUUGUUUCUUUCAAAUUCAAGAGCAGAAAUGUUUCACAAUAAAAGUUCAACUGUUUUUCUUUUCUAAGAAGGAUUAAAAAAAACUUGUAUGAUCAGAAAUGUCAAAGCUAUACUUGUUGAGUCUUUGUGACAUGGAUGAACAACCAGCAAGUGUUGAGUGGUAAAGACAAGAAGUUUGUAUCAGUGAUGUCUGAAAUGAAUCAUUCUGCAUACAAAGUACUUUUGGAAUUAAAGUAUAUUUUGAUGCUCAUACUUUUGAACUUUUAGUCAAGUAAGUCAUUUUAGUGCAGGAAUUAACCUUGGAACAGAGUAUUUCCACACUGUGGUAUUGGUAAGUGAGACAUCUAGGUUAUUCCAUAUGCUGAGAUUCAAUAUAAAAACACUUCUCAUGUUUAUUAUAUUUUUUUCACUACACCUGAGCACACUCUUCUCUCUGCCUCUGCAGACAUCUUCCUCGGUGUGUACUAUCACCAUGGAUACAUAAGUUGGUCGAUCCAAAAAACUAUCUUCAGGAAAUAGCUGUGUUUAUGGUGUCUUGUAAUUGGCUGUACAUGUUUGUAACAACCUGAAAUAAAUGUCUAUGUCAAGACAA